CAAGGAAGCCGCAAGAGCUCCUACAAACCCUGUGAACUUACUACACGUUGCUUCGGCGGGGUGUCUCCGGCGAGGGGACCUCAGCCCCCGCCCUCAGGGGCGCUAAGGGCCCGCCGGCAGCCGGAGGUACGAUAACUCUGUCUCUUGUAGUUGGCAUCUCUGAGUAUAAAAUCAAAUAAGUUA
RNAcentral lists this unclassified non-coding RNA (183 nucleotides) under soil metagenome. RNAcentral describes it as "partial internal transcribed spacer 1". The record is from RNAcentral.